Molecule: long non-coding RNA, 493 nt
Filed under: Zostera marina
Lineage: Eukaryota; Viridiplantae; Streptophyta; Magnoliopsida; Alismatales; Zosteraceae
Description: long non-coding RNA (ZMAR_LNC003567)
Source: RNAcentral
UUUCGGUUUUUAUGGUGGUCGGGACUCAAAGUCAGAAUGAUCAUUCUGAUGAUCCUUCCGAUGAUCAGUAUUCUGAUGAUCAUUCCGAUGAUCAGUAUUCUGAUCAUCAUGAUGUGGAUAUGAACACGACUGAGUGUUCAAAGAAAAAAAACAAUAGAAACGAUAAAGCAAUCGUCAUAUUCGAAGACGAUGAAAUUGUCUACGAUAAAGCCGCAGAAAAAUUAAAAAACGUAAGCUGCUUUUAAGUUGGUUUGUAGUUCCCCUAGUAGUUGGUCCCGUUGUUUCAAUAGAACAUCCACCGCCUCUACAUUGGAAUUCCCCGCUCUAUAAUCAAUGAUUGCCGGAGGAGCUCUCCCGUAUAGUGUUUGAAAUGGAGAGGUUCCUAGACUGUGAUGAUAGGCGGUGUUGUACCAAAGUUCUGCCCAUGGCAGCAGCUCGAUCCAACUCCGUUGAUUGUCUUGGAUUGUUGCCUGUAAGUAUUGUUCAAUUGUUU